AAGGAUAUGAUGAUAAUUGAUGAGUGAUUUAGUUUGACAGAAAAAGGAAAGCUGAUGUCAAUCUCUUCAAAAAGAUUUGAGACCUUUUUGGUAUGUGGUGGAUCGCAAACUCUUCUUUCAAGGGAAGGAGAGAGAGAGAGAGAGAGAGAGAGAGAGAGAGAGAGAGAGAGAAUCUUGUCAUUAUACACAUUCCCAAUUUGUACAUAGUAUAUAUAUCGUGCAUGUAUAUAUAUAAUAAUAUGGUAGUGUCUCGUCCUCAAGAGUAAAAUCCAACGAUUUUUUUUAUUUUUAUUUUUUGGACUUGGAGUGGAGCUAGAUACACUAUCAAUUAUCAAAGGUGAAUGUCCACUUCAAGUGUCACAUUAGUCGACCUAGUGGGCUCUCUCUCUCUCUGUCUCUCUCUAUCUCUCUCAUAUAGAAAAUAAUAAGAAUGAUAGCUGGAACCAGGCACUCUCAAGAACAAGGAAAAGAGCCAAAAAAAAUCCAAUUCAGAUGAUCCAAAAUUGACUUCCCUCUUCCAACUUAAGUUUAUUUUAUAACUUUAAGAUUUGAAAAUACAUGUGGUAUACCGCAGCUAUGGAUUUUAUCAAAUAGGUUAUGUAUAGUGCUAGUCCAUUAUUAGGUCAGAAAAUUAAAACUAU
RNAcentral lists this long non-coding RNA (641 nucleotides) under Prunus persica (peach). RNAcentral's name for it is "long non-coding RNA (PPER_LNC005037)". The record is from RNAcentral. Lineage: Eukaryota; Viridiplantae; Streptophyta; Magnoliopsida; Rosales; Rosaceae.